UCUGAUUAGCUAGUUGGUGGGGUAAAGGCCUACCAAGGCGACGAUCAGUAGCCGGCCUGAGAGGGUGAACGGCCACACUGGGACUGAGACACGGCCCAGACUCCUACGGGAGGCAGCAGUGGGGAAUCUUCCGCAAUGGACGAAAGUCUGACGGAGCAACGCCGCGUGUAUGAUGAAGGUCUUCGGAUUGUAAAGUACUGUCUUUGGGGAAGAAUGACUGGCUUGAAAAUAUUGAGUCAGUAUGACGGUACCCAAGGAGGAA
This 262-nucleotide ribosomal RNA is filed under the name uncultured Desulfosporosinus sp. RNAcentral's name for it is "partial 16S ribosomal RNA". It matches the Rfam family "Bacterial small subunit ribosomal RNA", at positions 236 to 489 of the family's 1533-position model. Lineage: Bacteria; Bacillati; Bacillota; Clostridia; Eubacteriales; Desulfitobacteriaceae. The record is from RNAcentral.